RNAcentral lists this long non-coding RNA (262 nucleotides) under Sinocyclocheilus anshuiensis. RNAcentral's name for it is "lncRNA (ENSSANG00000045270.1)". Lineage: Eukaryota; Metazoa; Chordata; Actinopteri; Cypriniformes; Cyprinidae. The record is from RNAcentral.
CCACAAUUGGUGGAAUAAAAAAAAUGUGGCUGAAAGAGUUCACAAUUGGUGGAACAAAGAGAAUAAAAAGGAGUGAUGGAAGGAGUUGCAGAUCAUAAGAUUAUCCUUCAGAGCUGACAGGAGGGUAAUGCAGCUUCUUCUGAUUUCGGACGCAGUGUAAGUCUAACACGAGAAAAUGAUUAUGUAGCAGAACUGGACUGAAAGCUCUGUGAACAAGGGCUGUAAUCCCCCGCUAAGAAGAACGACAAGAAAGAGAAGAGAG